Molecule: ribosomal RNA, 253 nt
Filed under: uncultured bacterium
Lineage: Bacteria
Description: partial 16S ribosomal RNA
Rfam family: Bacterial small subunit ribosomal RNA
Source: RNAcentral
UACGUAGGGGGCAAGCGUUGUCCGGAAUCAUUGGGCGUAAAGAGCGUGUAGGCGGCUUGGUAAGUCCGCUGUGAAAGUCCAGGGCUCAACCCUGGAAUGCCGGUGGAAACUGUCAAGCUUGAGUCCGGAAGAGGCGAGUGGAAUUCCUGGUGUAGCGGUGAAAUGCGCAGAUAUCAGGAGGAACACCAAUGGCGAAGGCAGCUCGCUGGGACGGUACUGACGCUGAGACGCGAAAGCAUGGGGAGCAAACAGG